AGACCCCGUGAACCUUUACUGCAGGUUGACACUGGCCCAGCGUCGAUGCUGUGUAGCAUAGGUGGGAGGCAGCGACCCGGCGGCGCCAGCCGUCGGCGAGCCAUCGGUGAAAUACCACCCUGCAUCGACGCUGAUCCUCACCGAUCCGUGGCCCGGAUCGGGACCGUGUUCAUCGGGCAGUUUGACUGGGGCGGUCUCCUCCCAAAGCGU
Molecule: ribosomal RNA, 210 nt
Filed under: Chloropicon mariensis
Lineage: Eukaryota; Viridiplantae; Chlorophyta; Chloropicophyceae; Chloropicales; Chloropicaceae
Description: partial Bacterial large subunit ribosomal RNA
Rfam family: Bacterial large subunit ribosomal RNA
Source: RNAcentral